UGCAGUCGAACGAUGAAGCCGGGUGCUUGCACCGGGUGGAUUAGUGGCGAACGGGUGAGUAUCACGUGAGUAACCUGCCCUUGACUCUGGGAUAAGCCUGGGAAACUGGGUCUAAUACCGGAUAUGACCAGUCCUCGCAUGGGGUGCUGGUGGAAAGAUUUAUCGGUCUUGGAUGGACUCGCGGCCUAUCAGUUUGUUGGUGAGGUAAUGGCUCACCAAGGCGAUGACGGGUAGCCGGCCUGAGAGGGUGACCGGCCACACUGGGACUGAGACACGGCCCAGACUCCUACGGGAGGCAGCAGUGGGGAAUAUUGCACAAUGGGCGCAAGCCUGAUGCAGCGACGCCGCGUGCGGGAUGACGGCCUUCGGGUUGUAAACCGCUUUCAGCAGGGAAGAAGCUUUUUGUGACGGUACCUGCAGAAGAAGCGCCGGCUAACUACGUGCCAGCAGCCGCGGUAAUACGUAGGGCGCGAGCGUUAUCCGGAAUUAUUGGGCGUAAAGGGCUCGCAGGCGGUUUGCCACGUCUGCUGUGAAAGCCCGGGGCUUAACUCCGGGUGUGCAGUGGGUACGGGUAGACUAGAGUGCAGUAGGGGAGACUGGAAUUCCUGGUGUAGCGGUGAAAUGCGCAGAUAUCAGGAAGAACACCGAUGGCGAAGGCAGGUCUCUGGGCUGUUACUGACGCUGAGGAGCGAAAGCAUGGGGAGCGAACAGGAUUAGAUACCCUGGUAGUCCAUGCCGUAAACGUUGGGCACUAGUGUGGGGGACAUUCCACGUUUUCCGCGCCGUAGCUAACGCAUUAAGUGCCCCGCCUGGGGAGUACGGCCGCAAGGCUAAACUCAAAGGAAUUGACGGGGCCCGCACAAGCGGCGGAGCAUGCGGAUUAAUUCGAUGCACGCGAGACUUACC
RNAcentral lists this ribosomal RNA (906 nucleotides) under Nesterenkonia halobia. RNAcentral describes it as "bacterial SSU rRNA". It matches the Rfam family "Bacterial small subunit ribosomal RNA", at positions 56 to 975 of the family's 1533-position model. The record is from RNAcentral. Lineage: Bacteria; Bacillati; Actinomycetota; Actinomycetes; Micrococcales; Micrococcaceae.